GAAAGGCUUUCCCUUCUUAAUCACGAGAUCUGUUUAAGUGCCAUCUUCUUAGUAGUUGAGUUCCUUUUCGUCAUUCCAAGUAUUUUAUUUUCUUCUGUAAAGCUUUGGUCCCUAGUUAGGUUGUUUUUGUUCUGUCUAGGGAUUAGGUCGGCUGUACACGGUGAUGACCUUUCUGUAGAUAAGUAGAUUUCUUUUAGGUAGAUGAAUUUCUCAAUUAUUUCAAAUAAAAGAAAAGAAAGCAGAAAAGAAGAAUGUCAUAUACUGCAUGUCUCAAACUAUAAUUUGGCAUCUCCUUUGAAAUAUUUGAUUGAAAAAUUUCAGGAUCUUCUGCUGACUGAUUCUAGUCACAGACAAAAGAGAUAGAGGAAUCUAUGUCACUUAAUUGAAUACACACAGAUCGUUGUUUUGAAGCCUAGCGAGUGAACUGUUUCUUACUUGGGAU
RNAcentral lists this long non-coding RNA (442 nucleotides) under Panax ginseng (ginseng). RNAcentral's name for it is "long non-coding RNA (PGIN_LNC002363)". Lineage: Eukaryota; Viridiplantae; Streptophyta; Magnoliopsida; Apiales; Araliaceae. The record is from RNAcentral.